AUGCUUGCUCUGGCAGCACAUAUAUUAAAACUGGAAAGACACAGAGAAGAUUAGCAUGGCCCUUGAGCAAGGAUGAUGUGCAAAUUUGUGAAGUGUUCCAUAUUCUU
RNAcentral lists this small nuclear RNA (107 nucleotides) under Sus scrofa (pig). The record is from RNAcentral. Lineage: Eukaryota; Metazoa; Chordata; Mammalia; Artiodactyla; Suidae.